This 159-nucleotide ribosomal RNA is filed under the name Amanita volvata. Its description in RNAcentral is "5.8S ribosomal RNA". It matches the Rfam family "5.8S ribosomal RNA". Rfam says of the family: 5.8S ribosomal RNA (5.8S rRNA) is a component of the large subunit of the eukaryotic ribosome. It is transcribed by RNA polymerase I as part of the 45S precursor that also contains 18S and 28S rRNA. Lineage: Eukaryota; Fungi; Basidiomycota; Agaricomycetes; Agaricales; Amanitaceae. The record is from RNAcentral.
AUAUAACUUUCAACAAUGGAUCUCUUGGCUCUCGCAUCGAUGAAGAACGCAGCGAAAUGCGAUAAGUAGUGUGAAUUGCAGAAUUCAGUGAAUCAUCGAAUCUUUGAACGCAUCUUGCGCUCCUUGGUAUUCUGAGGAGCAUGCCUGUUUGAGUGUCAG